Molecule: ribosomal RNA, 418 nt
Filed under: uncultured bacterium
Lineage: Bacteria
Description: bacterial SSU rRNA
Rfam family: Bacterial small subunit ribosomal RNA
Source: RNAcentral
GGAAUAUUGGACAAUGGCUGAAAAGCUGAUCCAGCCAUCCCGCGUGAAGGUAGAAGGUCCUAUGGAUUGUAAACUUCUUUUCUCUGGGAAGAAAAAGCUUGAUUCAUCAAGCCCUGACGGUACCAGAGGAAUAAGCACCGGCUAACUCCGUGCCAGCAGCCGCGGUAAUACGGAGGGUGCAAGCGUUAUCCGGAUUCACUGGGUUUAAAGGGUGCGUAGGCGGGCUUAUAAGUCAGUGGUGAAAGCCCGGAGCUUAACUUCGGAACUGCCAUUGAUACUGUAAGUCUUGAGUACACUUGAGGUGGGCGGAAUACAUCAUGUAGUGGUGAAAUACUUAGAUAUGAUGUAGAACACCGAUUGCGAAGGCAGCUCACUAAAUUGUAACUGACGCUGAGGCACGAAAGCGUGGGGAUCAAAC